UGUGUUUUGACCUUUUGUAUAUUUUUUCUACCCUUUGUUAGAAUCCUAACCAAUAUGUCAGAGUCAGCACCUUAAGCUGGAACAGCGAAAACAUAGGAAUAAUAUCCACAGCAACUACAAGCCAGAAUUGGAUUCCGGCCACGGUUAACUCUCUCAAAAUGAUGGAUGAGACUGGUCUCCAAACUGGUUGACCUGCG
RNAcentral lists this small RNA (197 nucleotides) under Drosophila virilis. RNAcentral's name for it is "GJ26876". Lineage: Eukaryota; Metazoa; Arthropoda; Insecta; Diptera; Drosophilidae. The record is from RNAcentral.